AUUGAACGCUGGCGGCAGGCCUAACACAUGCAAGUCGAACGAGUGGCGGACGGGUGAGUAAUGUCUGGGAAACUGCCUGAUGGAGGGGGAUAACUACUGGAAAAGGUAGAUAAUACCGCAUACCAUCGGAUGUGCCCAGAGGGGAUUAGCUAGUAGGGGGGGUAAAGGCUCACCGGGGCGACGAUCCCGAGCUGGUCUGAGAGGAUGACCAGCUACACUGAAACGGCUACACGGUCCAGACUCCUACGGGAGGCAGCAGGGGGGAAUAUUGCACAAUGUGCGCAAGCCUGAUGCAGCCAUGCCGCUUGUAUGAAGAAGGCCUUCGGGUUGUAAAGUACUUUCAGCGGGGAGGCGUUACCCGCAGAAGAAGCACCGGCUAACUCCGUGCCAGCAGCCGCGGUAAUUC
This 406-nucleotide ribosomal RNA is filed under the name uncultured bacterium. Its description in RNAcentral is "partial 16S ribosomal RNA". It matches the Rfam family "Bacterial small subunit ribosomal RNA", at positions 30 to 526 of the family's 1533-position model. The record is from RNAcentral.